UAUCAAGACAUCAUUAGCCGAGGAGAU
RNAcentral lists this non-coding RNA (27 nucleotides) under Bombyx mori (domestic silkworm). The record is from RNAcentral. Lineage: Eukaryota; Metazoa; Arthropoda; Insecta; Lepidoptera; Bombycidae.